ACGGGGGCCCGCACAAGCGGUGGAGCAUGUGGUUUAAUUCGAAGCUACGCGAAGAACCUUACCAGGUCUUGACAUACUAUGCAAAUCUAAGAGAUUAGACGUUCCCUUCGGGGACAUGGAUACAGGUGGUGCAUGGUUGUCGUCAGCUCGUGUCGUGAGAUGUUGGGUUAAGUCCCGCAACGAGCGCAACCCUUAUUAUCAGUUGCCAGCAUUAAGUUGGGCACUCUGGUGAGACUGCCGGUGACAAACCGGAGGAAGGUGGGGAUGACGUCAAAUCAUCAUGCCCCUUAUGACCUGGGCUACACACGUGCUACAAUGGAUGGUACAACGAGUUGCGAACUCGCGAGAGUAAGCUAAUCUCUUAAAGCCAUUCUCAGUUCGGAUUGUAGGCUGCAACUCGCCUACAUGAAGUCGGAAUCGCUAGUAAUCGCGGAUCAGCAUGCCGCGGUGAAUACGUUCCCGGGCCUUGUACACACCGCCCGUCACACCAUGAGAGUUUGUAACACCCAAAGUCGGUGGGGUAACCUUUUAGGAACCAAGCCGCCCUAAAAGUGGAAUCACACGGAAUGU
Molecule: ribosomal RNA, 570 nt
Filed under: Lactiplantibacillus plantarum
Lineage: Bacteria; Bacillati; Bacillota; Bacilli; Lactobacillales; Lactobacillaceae
Description: bacterial SSU rRNA
Rfam family: Bacterial small subunit ribosomal RNA
Source: RNAcentral